Molecule: ribosomal RNA, 433 nt
Filed under: uncultured bacterium
Lineage: Bacteria
Description: partial 16S ribosomal RNA
Rfam family: Bacterial small subunit ribosomal RNA
Source: RNAcentral
AACGAACGCUGGCGGCAUGCCUAACACAUGCAAGUCGAACGAGGCCUUCGGGUCUAGUGGCGCACGGGUGCGUAACGCGUGGGAACCUGCCCUUAGGUUCGGAAUAACUCCCCGAAAGGGGUGCUAAUACCGGAUAAUGUCUUCGGACCAAAGAUUUAUCGCCUUUGGAUGGGCCCGCGUUGGAUUAGCUAGUUGGUAGGGUAAAAGCCUACCAAGGCGACGAUCCAUAGCUGGUCUGAGAGGAUGAUCAGCCACACUGGGACUGAGACACGGCCCAGACUCCUACGGGAGGAAGCAGUGGGGAAUAUUGGACAAUGGGCGAAAGCCUGAUCCAGCAAUGCCGCGUGAGUGAUGAAGGCCUUAGGGUUGUAAAGCUCUUUUACCCGGGAUGAUAAUGACAGUACCGGGAGAAUAAGCUCCGGCUAACUCCGUG